GACGAACGCUAGCGGCGUGCUUAACACAUGCAAGUCGAACGAACUCGACCUUCGGGUCAUAUGGGUUAGUGGCGAACGGGUGAGUAACACGUGAGAAACCUACCCCAAAGUCGGGAAUAACUCAGGGAAACCUGUGCUAAUACCGGAUGCCCUUUAAAGAUCGAGUGGUCAUUAAAGGAAAGAUUUAUCGCUUUGGGACGGUCUCGCGGCCUAUCAGCUAGUUGGUGAGGUAACGGCUCACCAAGGCAUCGACGGGUAGCUAGUCUGAGAGGACGAAUAGCCACACUGGGACUGAGACACGGCCCAGACUCCUACGGGAGGCAGCAGUGGGGAAUAUUGCACAAUGGGCGAAAGCCUGAUGCAGCGACGCCGCGUGGGGGAUGAAGGCCUUAGGGUCGUAAACCCCUUUCAGUAGGGACGAAAAUGACGGUACCUACAGAAGAAGCUCCGGCCAACUACG
RNAcentral lists this ribosomal RNA (460 nucleotides) under uncultured Acidimicrobiales bacterium. RNAcentral's name for it is "bacterial SSU rRNA". It matches the Rfam family "Bacterial small subunit ribosomal RNA", at positions 28 to 505 of the family's 1533-position model. The record is from RNAcentral. Lineage: Bacteria; Bacillati; Actinomycetota; Acidimicrobiia; Acidimicrobiales.